AACCUAGCACACCUGCGGUGUGUACCUGCGGAAGGAUCAUUAACGAGUUACCACUCUAUAACCCUUUGUGAACUUACCUACAUGUUGCUUCGGCGGUCGGCCCCCCCGGGCCCCCGGCCCCGCUCACGCGGGGCGUCCGCCGGAGGAUAACCAAACUCUGAUUUAACGACGUUUCUUCUGAGUGGCACAAGCAAAUAAUCAAAACUUUCAGCAAUGGAUCU
RNAcentral lists this unclassified non-coding RNA (221 nucleotides) under soil metagenome. RNAcentral describes it as "partial contains 5.8S ribosomal RNA, internal transcribed spacer 2, and large subunit ribosomal RNA". The record is from RNAcentral.